UAUAUAAACUUUAUAAACCCUUUUUACUACUAGAGAAAUUUCAAUGUUUUUGAGGACUUUUGAAUUAAUUUCUGCAUAGACAUUCAAUAAUGAAAAAGUAUAAGGUGAAACAUUUACGCUGAAGGAAAAAAAUGCUAUUUUGGAACACACGUGAACCUUUUGUGCUUCAGCAGAUGGUCAUGUGUUGCAGUAUUUUCACGAUGAAUACCUGCCUAUCAUGUUAGACGCCAUAUUGAAUUUACCAGAUGGAAACAAGGAUGUAAGGGAUAGACUUUGGCUGUGUUCAAAACCACAUAUAGGCUACUCUCUUGAGUAAGUAGGGUGCUUAUUUUGAAUACAUAAUUGUUUUGCAACAUCUAAAAAGUAUGUGUGCACUAUGCAUGUAACAUACAGCGGAUAAAAUAAGUACUGAACACGUAACAACCCAAGUAAUUCAUACAGUACAUGCAAAUUAAACAAAGAAAUUCAGAAAUUAAGUUAUGUGUAAUAAAAUGGAAUGACGGAGGGAAAAAGUACUGAAGUACUGAAAUUGAUUUAAUACUUUGUACAAAAGCCUUUGUUUGUAAUGACAGCUUCAAUAUGCCUCCUGUAUGGAGAAACUGUGAUUUUGGCCCAUUCUUCCACAGAGUCUUCAAAUCUUGAAGGUUCUGUUGGCCUCUUAUGAACUCUGAUCUUUAGUUUUUAUUUUCUAUUGGAUCCAAAUCAGGUGAUUGGUUGCCAAUGGUUGGGCCAUUCUAGCAGCUUUAUUUUUUUUCUGAAACCAAUAGCUGUGUUUGGGAUCAUUGUUUUGUUGAACUUUGUUUCAUCAUCAUCCGGGUACUGUAGGUGUUGGGACUGAACCAGCUAAUAUUAAUUUCCACUGACUUCCGCAGGAUUGGGUUCUAAUUACUGAUAGAUUUCAGCUGGUGUCUUGGCUUUCCUGGCCUUCUUGUACCUCCCUUUCUUCAUAUGUCCAAUACAUUUUCCCUAUGUCAUUCCCAUAUUAUUAAGUAGAACUUAAUUUCUGAACAUAUUUGUUUUCUUUCUUUGUAUAUAUGGAUUACUUUGGUUGCUACCAACAUCUGGUGAAAAUUUCAUGUCAACGGCACCUUUAGAAAUAUUUUACUGAGAAAAAUGGUGACGUAUUCAAUACUUAUUUUACCCACUGUAGAUGUAAUCUGGACACACUAUAUUUUCCAUGUUGACAGAUCACAUGACCUACUAGCAUCAGUUGCGUCGCUUCAGUGCCAACCAUGAAUCCUCUCCCAUGGUCUCAGUGUUUACAUUAUGCACACUUCAGAAUCUCACAGGAAAUCUAGAGCAGAGGACAGAAAAUAACUCUCUUAGACGCUGAGUGGGAAGAGUCUUUGGGAGGCUGCAUUUACUUCCGCUUCUAUUUUCAGAGGCCCAUCUCCUCAUCAAGAGCUCCUUUUUUUGUCAUCCCAGACUACUCUCUGAAUCCAUCCAUCUUUUACUUAGUUGAUUCCUAUUUGUUUAUGAGUUUCUUCCAGCUGUGAGAAGUUUUUUUAUUUUUAUUUUUUAUUUCAAGAACAUCCUGACCUCCAAAUGUCCUUGAUUUAAAACAUACAGAU
Molecule: long non-coding RNA, 1571 nt
Organism: Carassius carassius (crucian carp)
Lineage: Eukaryota; Metazoa; Chordata; Actinopteri; Cypriniformes; Cyprinidae
Exons: 2
Source: RefSeq, a predicted model, not a curated record